RNAcentral lists this ribosomal RNA (441 nucleotides) under uncultured bacterium. RNAcentral's name for it is "bacterial SSU rRNA". It matches the Rfam family "Bacterial small subunit ribosomal RNA", at positions 338 to 795 of the family's 1533-position model. The record is from RNAcentral.
CCUACGGGACGCACCAGUGGGGAAUCUUGCACAAUGGGCGAAAGCCUGAUGCAGCAACGCCGCGUGCGGGAAGAAGGCCCUAGGGUUGUAAACCGCUUUCAGCAGGGAAGAAGAUGACGGUACCUGCAGAAGAAGGUGCGGCCAACUACGUGCCAGCAGCCGCGGUGACACGUAGGCACCAAGCGUUGUCCGGAUUUAUUGGGCGUAAAGAGCUCGUAGGCGGUUCGGUAAGUCGGGUGUGAAAACUCUGGGCUCAACCCAGAGCCGCCACCCGAUACUGCUGUGACUUGAGUUCGGUAGGGGAGCGGGGAAUUCCUGGUGUAGCGGUGAAAUGCGCAGAUAUCAGGAGGAACACCAGUGGCGAAGGCGCCGCUCUGGGCCGAGACUGACGCUGAGGAGCGAAAGCGUGGGUAGCAAACAGGAUUAGAUACCCCUGUAGUC